UACGUAGGGGGCAAGCGUUAUCCGGAUUUACUGGGUGUAAAGGGAGCGUAGGCGGUGCAGCAAGUCAGAAGUGAAAGCCCGGGGCUCAACUCCGGGACUGCUUUUGAAACUGUUGAACUAGAUUGCAGGAGAGGUAAGUGGAAUUCCUAGUGUAGCGGUGAAAUGCGUAGAUAUUAGGAGGAACACCAGUGGCGAAGGCGGCCUACUGGACUGUAAAUGACGCUGAGGCUCGAAAGCGUGGGGAGCAAACAGG
This 253-nucleotide ribosomal RNA is filed under the name uncultured bacterium. RNAcentral describes it as "partial 16S ribosomal RNA". It matches the Rfam family "Bacterial small subunit ribosomal RNA", at positions 524 to 776 of the family's 1533-position model. The record is from RNAcentral.